ACGGCAGCGCGAGAGAGCUUGCUCUCUUGGCGGCGAGUGGCGGACGGGUGAGUAAUAUAUCGGAACGUGCCCNGUAGCGGGGGAUAACUACUCGAAAGAGUGGCUAAUACCGCAUACGCCCUACGGGGGANAGGGGGGGAUCGCAAGACCUCUCACUAUUGGAGCGGCCGAUAUCGGAUUAGCUAGUUGGUGGGGUAAAGGCUCACCAAGGCAACGAUCCGUAGCUGGUUUGAGAGGACGACCAGCCACACUGGGACUGAGACACGGCCCAGACUCCUACGGGAGGCAGCAGUGGGGAAUUUUGGACAAUGGGGGAAACCCUGAUCCAGCCAUCCCGCGUGUAUGAUGAAGGCCUUCGGGUUGUAAAGUACUUUUGGCAGAGAAGAAAAGGUACCUCCUAAUACGAGGUACUGCUGACGGUAUCUGCAGAAUAAGCACCGGCUAACUACGUGCCAGCAGCCGCGGUAAUACGUAGGGUGCNAGCGUUAAUCGGAAUUACUGGGCGUAAAGCGUGUGUAGGCGGUUCGGAAAGAAAGAUGUGAAAUCCCAGGGCUCAACCUUGGAACUGCAUUUUUAACUGCCGAGCUAGAGUAUGUCANAGGGGGGUAGAAUUCCACGUGUAGCAGUGAAAUGCGUAGAUAUGUGGAGGAAUACCGAUGGCGAAGGCAG
This 669-nucleotide ribosomal RNA is filed under the name Alcaligenes faecalis. RNAcentral describes it as "bacterial SSU rRNA". It matches the Rfam family "Bacterial small subunit ribosomal RNA", at positions 66 to 724 of the family's 1533-position model. Lineage: Bacteria; Pseudomonadati; Pseudomonadota; Betaproteobacteria; Burkholderiales; Alcaligenaceae. The record is from RNAcentral.